Molecule: ribosomal RNA, 431 nt
Filed under: uncultured bacterium
Lineage: Bacteria
Description: partial 16S ribosomal RNA
Rfam family: Bacterial small subunit ribosomal RNA
Source: RNAcentral
AACGAACGCUGGCGGCAGGCUUAACACAUGCAAGUCGAACGCCCCGCAAGGGGAUUGGCAGACGGGUGGGUAGCGCGAGGGGACAUAAACUCUCGUGCGGAAUAGCCCUGGGAAACUGGUAUUAUUACCGAAUACGCGCUACGAGGGGAAGGUUUAUCGGGGUAGGUUUGGCGCGCGUUGGAUUUGCGGGUUGGUGGGGUGAAGGCGCGCCAUGGCGACGAGCCAGAGCUGGGGUGAGAGGAGGAUCAGCCACCUGGGGACUGGGACCCGGGCCAAACUCCUACGGGAGGGAGCAGUGGGGAAUAUUGGACGAGGGGCGCAAGCCUGAUACAGCCACGCCGGGUGAGUGAUGAAGGGCGUAGUGUAGUAAAGCUCUUUCACCGAUGAAGAGAAUGACGGUAGUCGGAGAAGAAGCCCCGGCUAACUACGUG